ACGAACGCUGGCGGCGUGGAUUAGGCAUGCAAGUCGCGCGACGGACCUUCGGGUUACGGAGCGGCGAACGGGUGAGUAACACGUGAACAACCUACCCCAUCAUUCCGGAUAAUUGGCCGAAAGGCCUUGUAAUACGGGGGAGGAUCCAGACUGGGCAUCCAGAUUGGAUCGAACGAGUAAUCGGUGCUGGGAGGGGUUCGCGGCUUAUCAGGUAGUUGGUGGGGUAACGGCCUACCAAGCCUACGACGAGUAGCUGGCCUGAGAGGAUGGUCAGCCACAUUGGAACUGAGAUACUGUCCAGACUCCUACGGGAGGCUGCAGUCGAGAAUCUUGGGCAGUGCACGAAAGUGUGACCCAGCGACGCCGCGUGGAGGAUGAAGGCCCUCUGGGUUGUAAACUCCUUUUACGGGAGAAGAACAAAUGACGGUAUCCCGUGAAUAAGCCACGGCUAACUACGU
RNAcentral lists this ribosomal RNA (458 nucleotides) under uncultured bacterium. Its description in RNAcentral is "bacterial SSU rRNA". It matches the Rfam family "Bacterial small subunit ribosomal RNA", at positions 29 to 506 of the family's 1533-position model. The record is from RNAcentral.